ACACAUGCAAGUCGAGGGGCAGCAUGAACUUAGCUUGCUAAGUUUGAUGGCGACCGGCGCACGGGUGAGUAACACGUAUCCAACCUGCCGAUGACUCGGGGAUAGCCUUUCGAAAGAAAGAUUAAUACCCGAUGGCAUAGUUCUUCCGCAUGGUGGAACUAUUAAAGAAUUUCGGUCAUCGAUGGGGAUGCGUUCCAUUAGGUUGUUGGCGGGGUAACGGCCCACCAAGCCUUCGAUGGAUAGGGGUUCUGAGAGGAAGGUCCCCCACAUUGGAACUGAGACACGGUCCAAACUCCUACGGGAGGCAGCAGUGAGGAAUAUUGGUCAAUGGACGAGAGUCUGAACCAGCCAAGUAGCGUGAAGGAUGACUGCCCUAUGGGUUGUAAACUUCUUUUAUACGGGAAUAAAGUGAGGCACGUGUGCCUUUUUGUAUGUACCGUAUGAAUAAGGAUCGGCUAACUCCGUGCCAGCAGCCGCGGUAAUACGGAGGAUCCGAGCGUUAUCCGGAUUUAUUGGGUUUAAAGGGAGCGUAGGCGGACGCUUAAGUCAGUUGUGAAAGUUUGCGGCUCAACCGUAAAAUUGCAGUUGAUACUGGGUGUCUUGAGUACAGUAGAGGCAGGCGGAAUUCGUGGUGUAGCGGUGAAAUGCUUAGAUAUCACGAAGAACUCCGAUUGCGAAGGCAGCUUGCUGGACUGUAACUGACGCUGAUGCUCGAAAGUGUGGGUAUCAAACAGGAUUAGAUACCCUGGUAGUCCACACAGUAAACGAUGAAUACUCGCUGUUUGCGAUAUACAGUAAGCGGCCAAGCGAAAGCGUUAAGUAUUCCACCUGGGG
Molecule: ribosomal RNA, 834 nt
Filed under: uncultured bacterium
Lineage: Bacteria
Description: bacterial SSU rRNA
Rfam family: Bacterial small subunit ribosomal RNA
Source: RNAcentral